AAAAAAAAAAAAAAAAAUUCCAUCCCUUUCACUAGCCCUACCGUGGCUAGUUUGGAAAUGGACUAAUUUAAAUCGAAUAGAAUUAAUUAAAUUUAUAUUUAACUCAAAUGAAUUAAAUUAAAAUUAUUUAUUUUAGUUUGGAGUUAAAUUAAAUUAUUUUUCAUUUGAGAAAUAAAAGAAAUUUGACAUAGUUUAGACCGAUGAAUUUGAAAUGGAUCAAAUCAAAUUGAAAUUGAAAUCAAAACCUCGAGAGAUAGCUGUUUCAAUUCCUG
RNAcentral lists this unclassified non-coding RNA (272 nucleotides) under Hevea brasiliensis (rubber tree). The record is from RNAcentral. Lineage: Eukaryota; Viridiplantae; Streptophyta; Magnoliopsida; Malpighiales; Euphorbiaceae.